Molecule: long non-coding RNA, 520 nt
Filed under: Gallus gallus (chicken)
Lineage: Eukaryota; Metazoa; Chordata; Aves; Galliformes; Phasianidae
Description: long non-coding RNA NONGGAT001230
Source: RNAcentral
CUGCUUGUUGCCCAUGCUGCGUACACUGGUGAAGAUGCACUUCAGCUGAGUCAUCUGCCUCACCCCCAGCUCAAGCACCGCUCCCCUAGGCUCAUCUCUGUGUGAACUUGUGAAGAACAGCUCAACUUGCCAGCCUGGCUAGCAUUAUCUGUUUAUGCAGUAUUUCCUGAACCUUCUCAUCCCAGUGAUGUAAGGGUGAGGAGUGGAGACGUGGGAAAAUGGUGAAUUCACUCGGCCUUCCUUUCUGGCUAGAAGAAAUCCACUUCUUGAAAAGCAGUAAUGUCACCAUUGCCAUCAACUUCUAAACGUGUACGUCCACUGGGGACACAGUUCAGCCUGCCAGCAGCUCAUAUUAGACCUGGGUCCAAUCCUGCUGCUUUUAUUCCUUUAAAUCCCGAUUUCACAGGCAGGAUUGCCAGGAUUUUCUGAAGUACUCAGUGGAUGAGUCUGCUUAUCUGAUAGCAUCUGAUGCUUUCCCAAGGAAAGCAAGGAAAUUAGACAGUGUUCAUAAAGCACAGCA